Penaeus vannamei (Pacific white shrimp) is the source of this 853-nucleotide non-coding RNA. The record is from RefSeq and is a predicted model, not a curated record. Lineage: Eukaryota; Metazoa; Arthropoda; Malacostraca; Decapoda; Penaeidae.
GGAGCAGCCAGUGUAUCGCGGGACAUGGUAGCGUGUGGACGUACGUUCCGGCGCAGCGUAUCCCUCAGUUGACUGUACAGUGGUAGCGGGUGCGCGCGUGUCUCGAGGCUGAAUGAGACCGAUGCAUACUAGAUGAGGAUAGGUCUAUAACUAUGCUCACCUACUGAACAAAAGUGAAAAUAAACUAGAAUGGAAAAUCGUUGUGAUAGUGAAAUGUGAUAUACGUAAAAAAGGAAGGAGUGAGAGAUAAAGAGAAAAGAAGAAAGAAAGAAAGAAAAAAGAGAAUCUAUAUGCAUGUAAAAAUAUGAGAACGCUAUUUCACAGAAUUGAAAACUGCGUCGUGGAAAAUUACACGAGCUGACCAGAGCAUCCAGACAGGGCCGUCGUCCGAAUCCUCAGCCGAGGUGAAUAGCCAGACGACUUGAUGGAUAGGCAGGAGACCCUAGCUGCCUCCAGUGGGUCCAAAGGUAAGCGAAGGAUGACGUGUUUUUGGUUACACUUGGUGAGUGGACGAAUCUAGCUUGUUAUUUCACUUUUCAGGCGUUAUUUACACUUAUUAUUUUCUCUAAAAUCCAGCGUGAGUUUGUGUUUACUGUUUUAUAAUGGCAUAUAGGCUUAUGUGUUUAAGUAACGGUGGAGUUCAUCUUUAGUCAGUAAUUUGCCUUAUAGGUACGAAAUUGAAAAUAGAUACGACUUAUGUAGUCAUGUGGUGUACAAAAAUGAUACGGCUAACAAUUACUGAAAAUACCUUUUAUUGUUUUGAUUAAGAUUACUGCAACAGUAUAGCAAUAAUGGUAAUAAUGAUAUCAUUAAAAAAGAAUAUGAUAUUUGUGACCAUAAUGAUUAUAACAAA